UGCCUGUUUACAAAAACAUAGCCUUACGUAGAGAUGUAAGGUAAGCCCUGCCCGGUGAGGAUUUAACGGCCGCAGUACCCUGACUGUGCUAAGGUAGCGUAAUCAGUUGGCUUUUAAAUGGAGUCGAGAAUGAAUGGGUCCAUGGGGGAAUGCUGUCUCCAACUUGUUUAAUAGAAUUUACUGAAUGGGUGAAAAUUCCCAUAAAUAGAAAAAAGACGAGAAGACCCUUAGAAUCUGCACGAGCAUGUAUGUUUUACAGUAAGUUUUUGUUGGGGCGACAACGGGGCAGGCAAAGCUAUACAAAUAGUAAAACUAAUAGAACCCCCGCAUUGAAGUAUUACAAGACGAAAAUGGUAAGAAAGAUCAGAUUACCUAAGGGAUAACAGCAUAAUUUUAAUAAGUUUGUGACCUCGAUGUUGGACUAGGGACUUUACGACUAGCCGUCGCAAUAGUAGGAUCUGUUCNAUCUUUUUAACCCUACGUGAUCUGAGUUCA
This 495-nucleotide ribosomal RNA is filed under the name Cassidula vespertilionis. RNAcentral describes it as "partial 16S ribosomal RNA". It matches the Rfam family "Archaeal large subunit ribosomal RNA", at positions 1889 to 2682 of the family's 2987-position model. Lineage: Eukaryota; Metazoa; Mollusca; Gastropoda; Ellobiida; Ellobiidae. The record is from RNAcentral.